This is a long non-coding RNA of Leopardus geoffroyi (Geoffroy's cat), 3346 nucleotides long. RefSeq lists it as uncharacterized. Lineage: Eukaryota; Metazoa; Chordata; Mammalia; Carnivora; Felidae. The record is from RefSeq and is a predicted model, not a curated record. The transcript has 4 exons.
GAUGCUGAGUCAAAGUAUUGGAAAUGAAAUUGGCAUAUGAUUCAAGAUACUGUAAAUCUUCAAUACCAAACUGUAAACCCUAAUAACAAAUAUGUCUUCUCUCUGAUGUUUCCUACAAGGUAGGCUGACAUUCAACUUAUUUCAGCCAUUGAGGUCAGCUGGAGAUCCUGACCAGCGUUAGUGACCUGUUGUCCCUGCUGUGGCCCUGUGUCUGGAGGUGAUCCAAGGAGACCCCAUUCAUCAUUUCUCUCUGCACCUACACCUCAUUUCAGCAUAAUCAAGACCAACUUAGAAAGGUUAGCUGUGGUCAGAAGAAAUUUAUGAAGAGUGGCUAUUAAGAGAUAGAGCACAUGUAUGCAGACUGUGUUUAAUAAUGUGACUAUUCAGCCUGCGUUCAUGUGACUCACGAGUGACCUAAGCAGUUUCUUCACAAAGCACACAUGGAGAGCACAGACACAGAGGCAAGUUGGGGGAGAGCCCUGGCAGGUAAAUUUUCUGCGCUCAGUGACCUGGGAACAGGAAUGAAAAAUCCUACUGCUCUUUUGGGAGAAAGGCUAAAAUUCACAGGCGGCAAUCCUUGCUCAGGACAUUUUGAUUGCUGAGGGCACGUUCUAACUUUCGGUUCAGCUCUGUCUAUUGGCCUGUCAAGCAUACCUCAGGUGUCAUAAAAUGGGUUCCACUUCAGUACAGUGACCCCAUUCUCUACCACUGGGGUGUGAGAGUACAGGAUUUAGGAUACCACUCACUGGAGACUAUGUCCCCAGCUCCAGACAUAACUUCAUCUAAUUAUUCCAAACAAAUGCCUGUUGUGGGCUCUCUUGCCUUACACAUCAAGUCCCAGUGACUUCCAGAGAUGGUAACCACACGAAUCAAUAUUGCCAUUGUGUUAGAUGUAGCACUCCCUGCCAGAAAUCUGUCUCACUGUGAUGAUUACGUAAAAGGUUCUUAGAUGGUUUUCCUACCACAAUCCUUGACUCUAGGGUUAGAUAAAGUUACCUGAAAAGGUCACCUUAUUCAGGUAACUAUAUGCAAGAAUCAUCUGAGGCCAGUGUAGUAUGAAACAUGUUUAAUGCCCUAUACAGCAUGGGCACCAGGCAAUCCAAAUGGAGGCUGGUCAAUGAGCCGAAUGUAUCAGCCCUGCCAAAGAACUACCUACGUGAGCGGUGAUCUCAGCCUCCAGUUCCCCUCACGAUCUGCAGAUUAAAUGAUCACUUUUCAGAGUUUUUGUGUGUCAUCUCAUCUAUUUCAACAGGUUACCUCCCUUUUUUCUAAGGGAAGUAAGUGACAUGCUUAAGGUCAGAGGUAAUCCAAAUAAAUUCUGGAACCCCAUGUGCUCCAAUCUGGAUAUGUUAUCUCAGGCAUAGAAACACAACCUAGAAAACCAAAAGUAACCAUACAUCUUUCAAACCUUUUAUCAGUUCUUCCAGGAAAUGACAAAGAGGAACGCGUGUUCUUAAUAAACAGCUAAAGUUAUCAUCUUUUCUCUCCACUGCUUCCUUCCUUAGCACAUUUCACAUAGACUGCAGCUGCUCCUUUACCAGCCUCUCUAUUUUCCUCCUGUCACUCUCUCUGAAGGUCUUCCACAUGUGUGGGCUCAACGAUCCCCCUUCCACUGCUUAAGGGAGCGCAGUGAGGUCUUACCCAGCAGCCAUCUUGGCCAUGCUGCGGGAGGAGCCGGGGAACCGGAAGCCAUAUACAAAUCCACAAAUCCCCAGCAACCUAGACCUUCAUAUUUGUUAGGGAGAGAAGCACCCAGGGCCCACCGAGAAAUGCAGUUCCUGUGGUCUGACAGAUCUUGUGACAAAUCAUUUUUGGAAAUUUCGGUCGAACAAAAUUCUGAACCUCUUUGCAUGUAUACCUGCAAAAGCUAGAGUCCAGACCAAACCCUAGAGUUUCUGGGGUCUGUGCAAAUGGAGAGAGAAUAUGUCUCAUUUACUGCCGGCACAUAGUUAGGACACAGUAAAUAUGUAUUAAACCCAGGGUAAAUUGAGAAAUAAUUUAGGAAGAAAAUGACAUUAGGAGGGACCAGGUAUUGGAUAGUUUUUGACUGUCUGCCUGCCAGCCUGCCUGCCUUUUUUUUUUCCCUACCAGAAUGAUUUGAAUUGACCAUCUACAUUGAAAAACUUCAUUGAUUGAUGGUUUCAUUCUUCCAUUCGCUUUGUGCAGACCCUUUGUAAUUUACUUUUAUGUUCGGUCUCUGUUUUCUCUUCCUGUCACUUUGCCCCUCUCUUUUUCACUGCUUGCCUGAGAGUAAUUUUCCAUCAUAUUGUUAUAGCCAGAGGUCUCUGACAGGGUGGCAGUAAAAUGACACAGCUAAGUGAUACAGAUUUUAAUGACUUAAUGCCAUAAUAAUUUCUAACAGAAACAUAAGUAGAGACAGGGGUGAUGUUUUAAAAGACAUAAAAAUGGGAAGUGGACCAUGGACAAGUUGUACCUGAGACAGAACCGUGGCAGAAAUGGGAGCGAGACAGCUAUGCACAAAGUUGGUAGAGGCAGGCCCAUAAAACAGAUGCUGUUAGUAAAGGGGGAAAAGUCACAGAAGAGAAAAAUAUAGCAUUUUGAAAGUAUUCGAGAAAGAAAAAAAAAGAUGACAAAAAGAAAAUGUGGACUGGCUUCUUAACAGAGAAAAAGAGAAAAUAGGAAAUUACAGAAAAAGGACAGAAGGCUUGGCCUGUCUUACGAGCCAGCCAGGCUUGGUGACAAAGGUAACAUCCAGAAGAAUACUUAAGGUAAUAAUAGUCAAUGAGGAAAGAGCACGGAGAAGCAAUGCGCCUCAGAAUGCCCAGGGUAGGAAAAUCGCUGCAGACCACAAAAGGAGAGAACAGAGGAGUGCAGGCCAGCUGGCAACUAUUUCUGAAACCUCGUGGAGGAUUAUUAGGUUCCUAGGAAUUUGAAAAGGGAAAGAUACCAAAUUGUUAUUUUGACAGUGUGAUGAAAAUGUGUUAAAGUAGGUCACAGAGAAUCUGUGGAAUUGGUGGGCUUCCUUGGCACCAAGGUAAACUCUUGGUAAAAUGAAAAAAAUGGCUAAAAGAUAAAUGCAUAGCUAACUUGCCCACGGGCUCACGUGUGGGUCUCUAAGGGCCGUGGGUCAGAUGUCCGCCUCUUUCCAUCCCCGCCCCCGUUGCGUGAAAGCUCACUGUUUGUUCCUCUGAAGUUGGCUACAAAUCCACCUGUGGUAGAACUAAGCGCCUCUCACCGGGGGUUCUGGUUCUCUUCCCUUCUGCGCAUGCACGGAAGGACCAUACCUCCUCACCCCAGGGCAGAUGGGCAUGAACUUGUCUGGAUGGACGCAUUCAAGGGAGAGAGAAAGACAGAGCAUGAGCAGGGAAGGAGCAGAGAGAGAGGG